AAAGAGGUCAUACUACGGAGCUCCCGACUACCGAUGCAACCACUGCGGGGCUAGCUUUUGGUGGCGUGAGAGGGUAAAGUCACAGUCUGCUAUCACAAAAAGGCGUGUUAUAUACAACAAUUCUUAAGAAACAGUUAUUGGUGAAGGUUAUUAUUACAAGGCUGGGCUAUGACAAUUGCUGGUGGUUCCUGUCAUGCCGGGAAUGUCAUAAAACAACCUAUGUUUUUGGAAGGCAUUUCCGUUGCUCGGACCCCACUUGCCCUUCCGUUAAUGCAGAUCCCUCAUACUGCGUGUGCACCUUU
Molecule: long non-coding RNA, 302 nt
Organism: Triticum aestivum (bread wheat)
Lineage: Eukaryota; Viridiplantae; Streptophyta; Magnoliopsida; Poales; Poaceae
Exons: 3
Source: RefSeq, a predicted model, not a curated record